Aureobasidium pullulans is the source of this 72-nucleotide transfer RNA. It matches the Rfam family "tRNA". Rfam says of the family: Transfer RNA (tRNA) molecules are approximately 80 nucleotides in length. Their secondary structure includes four short double-helical elements and three loops (D, anti-codon, and T loops). The record is from Rfam. Lineage: Eukaryota; Fungi; Ascomycota; Dothideomycetes; Dothideales; Saccotheciaceae.
UCCGGUGUGGUCUAACGGCUAGGAUUUCUCGCUUUCACCGAGGAGGUCGGGGUUCGAUUCCCCGCACCGGAA